ACGGGAGGCGCAGUGGGGAAUAUUGCACAAUGGGCGAAAGCCUGAUGCAGCGACGCCGCGUGAGUGAAGAAGUAUUUCGGUAUGUAAAGCUCUAUCAGCAGGGAAGAAAAUGACAGUACCUGACUAAGAAGCCCCGGCUAACUACGUGCCAGCAGCCGCGGUAAUACGUAGGGGGCAAGCGUUAUCCGGAUUUACUGGGUGUAAAGGGAGCGCAGGUGGCAUGGCAAGCCAGAAGUGAAAACCCGGGGCUUAACCCCGCGGACUGCUUUUGGAACUGUCAGGCUAGAGUGCAGGAGGGGCAGGCGGAAUUCCUAGUGUAGCGGUGAAAUGCGUAGAUAUUAGGAGGAACACCGGUGGCGAAGGCGGCCUGCUGGACUGUAACUGACACUGAGGCUCGAAAGCGUGGGGAGCAAACAGGAUUAGAUACCCUGGUA
This 434-nucleotide ribosomal RNA is filed under the name uncultured Lachnospiraceae bacterium. RNAcentral's name for it is "partial 16S ribosomal RNA". It matches the Rfam family "Bacterial small subunit ribosomal RNA", at positions 341 to 792 of the family's 1533-position model. Lineage: Bacteria; Bacillati; Bacillota; Clostridia; Lachnospirales; Lachnospiraceae. The record is from RNAcentral.